This 263-nucleotide unclassified non-coding RNA is filed under the name Hevea brasiliensis (rubber tree). The record is from RNAcentral. Lineage: Eukaryota; Viridiplantae; Streptophyta; Magnoliopsida; Malpighiales; Euphorbiaceae.
AAUAAUUGAUCCAUGCUGAAAUCGAGCCUGGGAUGCGCUGCAGCGAGUUUCAUGGAGAGAAACUCAACUUGUCUCUGGAGGGACUGAACAUAGUUAAUGAUCUCGUCUAGCAUGCCGGCCUUGCCGGUGAUCUUGUUGCAGCCGGGGACGAGAUCCUGGAGAUAUUUCAUUCUCUCGCUGAUCUUCUCCCUCCUCACUCUCUCUGCCAAGCUAUGGCUAUCGGUUGCUUGCCCUCGGCGUGCUCUCACGUGGAUAUAGUCUGU